This 305-nucleotide long non-coding RNA is filed under the name Chinchilla lanigera (long-tailed chinchilla). RNAcentral describes it as "lncRNA (ENSCLAG00000026096.1)". Lineage: Eukaryota; Metazoa; Chordata; Mammalia; Rodentia; Chinchillidae. The record is from RNAcentral.
UCAAGUAUCGUCCGCGCGGCGCCUUCUCGCGAGAGAAAUACUUUUUUAAAAAAAAGAAAGAAAAAGAAAAUGACACCCCCUCCUCCAUCCUGCGUCUCCACCCCACCCCGGCCCCGCGCGUCCUCCCUUUCCACUGCUCGCUGCCAGCCCGGCCUCUGCGCAGCCGCCUGCGCGGGGCAGAACCAGCCGGGGGGAGGCGGGGUGACAGGGUGCCCGCCGAAGAGAGUAUAAACAAAAGAACAAAAUAAAAGGCAGGUAAGAAGGAACAGGAAGAUAGGCCUUUUGCAAGAGGGAAGGGAACCAAG